RNAcentral lists this ribosomal RNA (465 nucleotides) under uncultured bacterium. RNAcentral describes it as "bacterial SSU rRNA". It matches the Rfam family "Bacterial small subunit ribosomal RNA", at positions 338 to 795 of the family's 1533-position model. The record is from RNAcentral.
CCUACGGGAUGCAGCAGUGGGGAAUAUUGCACAAUGGGCACAAGCCUGAUGCAGCCAUGCCGCGUGUAUGAAGAAGGCCUUCGGGUUGUAAAGUACUUUCAGCGAGGAGGAAGGCAUUAAGGUUAAUAACCUUAGUGAUUGACGUUACUCGCAGAAGAAGCACCGGCUAACUCCGUGCCAGCAGCCGCGGUAAUACGGAGGGUGCAAGCGUUAAUCGGAAUUACUGGGCGUAAAGCGCACGCGGGCGGUCUGUUAAGUCGGAUGUGAAAUCCCCGGGCUCAACCUGGGAACUGCAUCCGAGACUGGCAGGCUAGAGCCUUGUAGAGGGGGGUAGAAUUCCAGGUGUAGCGGUGAAAUGCGUAGAGAUCUGGAGGAAUACCGGUGGCGAAGGCGGCCCCCUGGACAAAGACUGACGCUCAGGUGCGAAAGCGUGGGGAGCAAACAGGAUUAGAUACCCCUGUAGUC